Molecule: long non-coding RNA, 1616 nt
Filed under: Salmo salar (Atlantic salmon)
Lineage: Eukaryota; Metazoa; Chordata; Actinopteri; Salmoniformes; Salmonidae
Description: lncRNA (ENSSSAG00000095813.1)
Source: RNAcentral
GACUUACAAAAUGGUGCAUUCACCUUAUGAUAUCCAGUGGAACAACCACUUUACAAUAGUGCAUCCCUUCAUGGUUACAGGGGGUCUGAUCCGGUACUAGAUAUGUACCUAAAAAACUGGCCACUGAGUGUAUAUAAUUAUAAAAUAUUAAAGCCACCAUGGCAUUUUAAAGCUGUCAAGCAAGUCAGAUGGAUGGUUGGUUUGGCAAGCUAGCUAACUGGCUAGCCUGUUAUGUUUUGAUUUAAAUGCUGGAGGUAGAGCGGACAAGGCCAAAGCAAGGGUACAAGCAGAGAUGGCAGAGGUAUGCGCAAAUGCUCGGUAAGGCUACUUUGGACUACCACUGACGUGCGGUGAGCCUUCCGCUGCCAGGGCAUCACCCAAGUGGGUGCUAAGUGAUCAGUGGUGGUCGAGGAGUAGCUGGCUAGCUACCGGCUACAGAGACCAGACUUUGCACUGUUUAACGGCUCUGGACAACAGUCAUCAUUGCUUCGAGACCGGACCCGUCUGACUGAGGCUCCCGAGGCUUACCCCCCUGCCUAUGACCAUGAUGCAUCCGCUCUCUCCCUCCUCUCAUGGACAUUUCCCUUACAAAAAACUCACUUGAAUUUCAUGUGGUAACGUGUUUCAAAUGUGAUCACGUGAUCUCACAUGAUCGCAUGUGAUCUUAUGUGAAGUUAAUGUAAUAACGUGACAACAUGUAAAAGCAACAUGUGAUAACAUGAAACUACACAUGUAAAAACACGAUCUCAUGCUAAAUAAAUGUGCAACAUGGGAUGCAAAAUUACAACCAUCUGAGUUUGUUUUUCACAUGUGGAAGUGCAAAUUCGAUUUCCACAGAAAUUCCACAUCCCACUGGGCACACCAUGUCACUUGAAUGUGCAUAAUUGGGUAAUAUUUGGUUAAGAUGUUGAUCAAUGAGAGAUUACAACCUAUAUUCACCCACUCAAAAAGACAGCCAAAAGUUUGUUGAAUUUCCAAUGUGUUAUCACUAUGCUUUCAACCAUCUAAAAGCACAACCAAAUUCCAAUAGAAAAACAAUGUGUGAUUUUUGGUUUAUAUAACGGAUUAAUCUAUUAUGACUGUGCUUCAUCUAAUAGCAGAACCAAAUGACCUGGAUUGCAGUUGAGAUUACAUUAAAAGUAUCCUUGAACAUGCACGCUUUAUAUAAUUACAUAAGAAGACAUAUAUAGUUACAGUCACCUCAAAAUAUGGUCAUGGAUGUGUUACUCAUUUGAAGGUUGAAUGUUACAUUCGUUUGUAAGACAGCCUUAACUUCAUGCUAUUUAAUGUAUUACAAAUGUAUUAUUGAAUUGUUUGGUUGUCAACACAACCAAAUAUCAACAAUUAAUAAAGGAGAUGUAUCUACUGCUUGGAUAGAUCCAUCUGUGGCACUGACUUAGUCUGGCUUUAAUUCCAGUUUGUCUACAAAUGAAUAAUUGAUAUGUUGGAUUCACGUCUCCAUCUCAACCAAAAAUCCAAGUUAAAGAAUAGGACAAAAUCUAAUCUAAUUGUAAGGACCGACGCCGGAGAUGAGAAGCAGGUACGGGGAGUCAACAUUUAAUCAGGAACAAACAGGUAACAAGCCAGGCACAGUGUCGGCACACGGGUAAACAAGG